UACGUAGGGGGCAAGCGUUAUCCGGAUUUAUUGGGCGUAAAGAGCUCGUAGGCGGUUGAUCGCGUCGGUUGUGAAAGCUUAGGGCUCAACCCUGAGACGGCAGUCGAUACGGGUAGGCUAGAGGUAGGUAGGGGAGAGCGGAAUUCCUGGUGUAGCGGUGAAAUGCGCAGAUAUCAGGAGGAACACCGGUGGCGAAGGCGGGAUCCUGGGCCAGUACUGACGCUGAGGAGCGAAAGCGUGGGGAGCGAACAGG
RNAcentral lists this ribosomal RNA (253 nucleotides) under uncultured bacterium. RNAcentral describes it as "partial 16S ribosomal RNA". It matches the Rfam family "Bacterial small subunit ribosomal RNA", at positions 524 to 776 of the family's 1533-position model. The record is from RNAcentral.